RNAcentral lists this unclassified non-coding RNA (223 nucleotides) under plant metagenome. RNAcentral's name for it is "partial contains small subunit ribosomal RNA, internal transcribed spacer 1, and 5.8S ribosomal RNA". The stretch from base 1 to 54 matches the Rfam family "Eukaryotic small subunit ribosomal RNA", at positions 1778 to 1831 of the family's 1831-position model. The record is from RNAcentral.
GGAAGUAAAAGUCGUAACACGGUCUCCGUUGGUGAACCAGCGGAGGGAUCAUUAUCGAGUUUAUAACUCCCAAACCCCAUGUGAACUUACCACUUGUUGCUUCGGCGCGCGCUUCGGCGCCGCCGAGGACACUUAAACUCUUUGUUUUUAUAAGCAUUUCUGAGUGGCCGAAAGGCAAAAUACAAAUGAAUCAAAACUUUCAACAACGGAUCUCUUGGUUCUG